GAUAGUUAAUUUUUGCUUAUAUACUUGCUAAAGAAGCCCGUAGAAAAUGUUGUAAUUUUAUGAGCAGAAUAACCUACUUUAACCAACUGAUUUAAUUUCAAAUUCAGUGGUAGGCGCGAUUGGACUCGAACCAACGACCCCCACCA
This 146-nucleotide antisense RNA is filed under the name Candidatus Nitrotoga sp. M5. RNAcentral describes it as "HPnc0260". It matches the Rfam family "Bacterial antisense RNA HPnc0260". The record is from RNAcentral. Lineage: Bacteria; Pseudomonadati; Pseudomonadota; Betaproteobacteria; Nitrosomonadales; Gallionellaceae.